CCUACGGGGGGCUGCAGUGGGGGAUAUUGCACAAUGGAGGGAACUCUGAUGCAGCGACGCCGCGUGAGGGAAGAAGGUUUUCGGAUUGUAAACCUCUGUCUUCGGUGACGAAACGAGACGGUAGCCGAGGAGGAAGCCACGGCUAACUACGUGCCAGCAGCCGCGGUAAUACGUAGGUGGCAAGCGUUGUCCGGAAUUACUGGGUGUAAAGGGAGCGUAGGCGGGAAAGCAAGUUGAAUGUUUAAGGUACGGGCUCAACCUGUACAAGCGUUCAAAACUGUUUUUCUUGAGUACUGGAGAGGCAGACGGAAUUCCUUGUGUAGCGGUGAAAUGCGUAGAUAUAAGGAGGAACACCAGUGGCGAAGGCGGUCUGCUGGACAGCAACUGACGGUGAGGCGCGAAAGCGUGGGGAGCAAACAGGAUUAGAUACCCUGGUAGUC
This 440-nucleotide ribosomal RNA is filed under the name uncultured bacterium. Its description in RNAcentral is "partial 16S ribosomal RNA". It matches the Rfam family "Bacterial small subunit ribosomal RNA", at positions 338 to 795 of the family's 1533-position model. The record is from RNAcentral.